GCCCUCAGGUGCCAUAGCACCCUGAGGGGGCCCCAGCAUGGAAUCUGAUUAGGGUCGAACCUGGCUGGGACUUGGAUGGGAGGCUGCUGGGGAGACCAGGACCUGGAGGCU
This 111-nucleotide ribosomal RNA is filed under the name Saimiri boliviensis boliviensis (Bolivian squirrel monkey). The record is from RNAcentral. Lineage: Eukaryota; Metazoa; Chordata; Mammalia; Primates; Cebidae.